UGCAAUCGUUGUUACAAAUACAACAACCACCACCACGGCAACACCUUAUUUCUAUUUUUGUUUUUCUCCUCAAUCCCAAGCACUCAUUGCGGAGUGGCUUCACACGGACUCAAAAAGAACAAUUGUAGGAGUGGAUAUGGACCUUGAGAAACUUGAAUGGAGCUUAAGGAAUAAUGUUGAUUCAAAUGGGUUCUAGCUUUACCAAUAAGGCUUCAACUAGGGAUGUAAUGAAACUUAAGGAUGCUAGGCUGGAGGAUAUGCUCCACCGUAGGCUGGAGGAUGUUCUUAAUUGGUUGAAAUAACUUUAAUAGAUUGCUGUAAGAUUAUUCAUUCGA
Molecule: long non-coding RNA, 335 nt
Organism: Papaver somniferum (opium poppy)
Lineage: Eukaryota; Viridiplantae; Streptophyta; Magnoliopsida; Ranunculales; Papaveraceae
Exons: 3
Source: RefSeq, a predicted model, not a curated record